RNAcentral lists this ribosomal RNA (440 nucleotides) under uncultured bacterium. RNAcentral describes it as "partial 16S ribosomal RNA". It matches the Rfam family "Bacterial small subunit ribosomal RNA", at positions 338 to 795 of the family's 1533-position model. The record is from RNAcentral.
CCUACGGGAGGCAGCAGUGGGGAAUAUUGCACAAUGGGGGAAACCCUGAUGCAGCGACGCCGCGUGAGUGAAGAAGUAAUUCGUUAUGUAAAGCUCUAUCAGCAGGGAAGAAAAUGACGGUACCUGAGUAAGAAGCCCCGGCUAACUACGUGCCAGCAGCCGCGGUAAUACGUAGGGGGCAAGCGUUAUCCGGAUUUACUGGGUGUAAAGGGAGCGUAGACGGCAGUGCAAGUCUGGAGUGAAAGGCGGGGGCUCAACCCCCGGACUGCUCUGGAAACUGUACGGCUGGAGUGCAGGAGAGGCAAGUGGAAUUCCUAGUGUAGCGGUGAAAUGCGUAGAUAUUAGGAGGAACACCAGUGGCGAAGGCGGCUUGCUGGACUGUAAAUGACGCUGAGGCUCGAAAGCGUGGGGAGCAAACAGGAUUAGAUACCCUUGUAGUC